GGUAGCGUGGCUGAGUGGUCUAAGGCGCUGGUUUUACGCACCAGCCCUUCUUAGUGCGUGGGUUCGAAUCCCACCGCUGCCA
Molecule: non-coding RNA, 82 nt
Organism: Argiope bruennichi
Lineage: Eukaryota; Metazoa; Arthropoda; Arachnida; Araneae; Araneidae
Source: the annotation of a RefSeq genome assembly